Molecule: long non-coding RNA, 2910 nt
Organism: Oncorhynchus tshawytscha (Chinook salmon)
Lineage: Eukaryota; Metazoa; Chordata; Actinopteri; Salmoniformes; Salmonidae
Source: Ensembl
CAAAAGCAUGCUCGUGCGGCAGAGUCUAUUUCCGCGCUUAUAAACCCAGGGUCGUUACACUAUGUAUAGUUGUGGAGCCUCCUGCUGUAUUAUUUGUGUAACUGUAUCUGUGCAUUUAUGUGCACAUGAUCACGCAGGAUCCAGCAAAAGAGUUAUUAAACUUUGGAGAUAAUAGACUGAGGAUGAUGAAGAGGAGGAGGGGGCAGAACCCCAUGGCCGUUUCUCUGCUGUUGGUGGAGGGAGCUACCUGACAUCCAGGACCAGCCCAGGGCCUGUAGACAGGCCUCUAACUGGGAGGAUAAUGGGAGAAGAACUUCUCACAGACCUCCUCCAUUUAAGUGGGAGAUUCUCUUAUGAAAUCACCUCCACACUAGCACCCUGUUUUCAGUGGCUAACUGACUGCUAUGCUGUGUCCUUGGGCAGGACAGCACUGAUGUCCUGGGUUAUGUUACUGGUUUGCUCUGGACCUACAAGUUCUGUGCUUUCUCCAGAGCAUAUGAGUUUGUACUGGGGGCAUGCCAUUGCUACUGGCAUCAACGUUCUGUGCAACCCUGCAUCUUGCUGUAUCCUUCUCCAGAUUGUGUUCCUGUCCUGGUGCAGGAAGAGUACCACUCCGCAGCAGCAUGGAAGGGGUUCUCCAGACACAGUCUCUUGGGGGGCUUCUCUCCCCCACUCAGCACAACCCUAGAGGGAAGACUAAGAAAAACACACAGUAAGCCCAGAGUCCUCUCUGGGUUAAGGAGAUGGACUCAAUGCCUGGCAGUGUUGUUUAUGUCAUUUUAUAGCAAGCAUUGGAAUGAAAGAGCAAAUAAAGAUCUUUAAGAUAGAGAAUGAAAGACUAAAUGGUAGAUGUUUGAGAACUCCUUUUUAAGUUGCUCUUUCAUUCCUGUCCUGGCUUUGCCUCAUACAGUAUUUGAUAAUCAUCUUUAAACACAGCUCUCUUUCCUCAUGUGCGUUGGGCUUGGAUGGCACUCCUCUCUGUGUUCCCUCCAAUAACAUAAAUCUCAACAAGAUGGCUGAUAUGGGAUAUUACAUGGAUGUCAACAUUCAACCAGACUCUGUCCAGGGAAGCAGGUGUGUCAGAGAGAUCCCCCUCAGGAGGACCGUGAGAAUGGACAAACCCUGCACCUUAGAAACAUUCUCUGACUCCUCAUCCCUCAACUCUGAUGUGGAGGUCAGAUCCCAACGGAUCCUUACAUCUUCCUCACAUUCUUUAUUAACAACCUUACUAUCGUGUAAAAUCAUAUUCUACAGCAAGAUUUUGCCUAAUAUGGUUCAGUUAUUCUGAGUUUAGUAUGUGAUCGUAAAAAAUGUGAACUGUUAAACCAUUUUCUGCCACAAGAUGGUGAUAGUAUGUGAAGGAUGGUUGAAAACGUGUUGCUUUGGAUUCAUCUGCACAUCAGGGAAACCUAUUAUUUUCAGUCUUAACACAUUGUAGGCCCUGCCUAUUACCAUGUAAGGAAGGUCAAAUCAAGACCUUUACCCACAAGGUCUUCUGAAGUGCUUUGCUUGCUAACUAAGUAUGUUUAUUUAACGUUACUUCUUUAGGCUCAGGCCUUUCCAUGUCGACUGAUUUUUAUAGUGCAGUGAAAGUCCACUCAAGGGCCAUUUCAUAUGAAUUCGAUCACUUUCUGACUGCACCCCUUUUGAUUUGAACGAAACCUUCCAUACAUGUUUGCAAUGGUAGGAGUGGUCAGAAAAGUGACCUUUUGGACCUGAAUGCCAAAACAUUCAGGAGAUAGAGGUGCUCAAAGUUGACGUAUUUUGCAUACCUACCAUUAGACGUCUGUGUCUUCAUCACUGAAAAAUAUAAUUCAAAUCAAAUCAAACUUUAUUUGUCACAUGCACCGAAUACAAUAAGUGUAGACCUUACCGUGAAAUGCUUACUUACAAGCCCUUAACAGUGCAGUUCAAGAAGAGUUAAGAAAAUAUUUACCAAAUAAACUAAAGUAAAAAAUAAUAAAAAGUAACACAGUAACAUAACGAUAACGAGGCUAUGUACAAGGGGUACCGGUACCGAGUCAGUGUGCGGGGUUACAGGUUAGAGGUCAUUUGUACAUGUAGGUAGGGGUGAAGUGACUAUGCAUGGAUAAUAAACAGCGAGUAGGUGCAGUGUACAAAACAAAUGGGGGGGUCAAUGUAAUAGUUUUUAACGUUAAAGGUAUAAAAAAACAAGCUGAUUUUUGUUAUAUCAAACUCGUUUAUCUAAACGUGUAAAGUCAGAUUUGUCUCAUUUUCGCAUAGGUUUUAACUUAGACACGGAUUUAUCUGAAGUUCCAGGCAUAAGCGACAUAAGCAGGUAGCUUAGGGCACCCGGCCACAAACUCAGUCGGGGUCUUGUCACGUCCUGACCAUAGAGAGCCCUUAUUUUCUAUGGCGGAGUAGGUCAAGGCGUGACUGGGGGUUUAGUCUAGUUUAUUAUUUCUAUGUGGGGUUCUAGUUUUGUUUUUCUAUGUUGGUGAUUUUGUAUGAUUCCCAAUUAAAGGCAGCUGGUAAUGGUUGUCUCUAAUUGGGGAUCAUAUUUAAGUAGCAUUUUUUCCACCUGUGUUUUGUGGGAUAUUGUUUAUGUGUAGUUCCAUGUUAGCACGUUUAGUCUUUAUUGUUUGUUGUGUGGUUCACUUAUUUCUAAUAAAAGAUAUGCUUCCAAUGAUCGUGACAGAAUAUCCCACCACAACAGGACCAAGCAGCGUUCCCAGGAGGAGAGUGUAACAUGGACUUGGGAGGAGAUUCUGGAUGGGAAAGGAUCCUGGACUUGGGAGGAAACCCUGGCAGGACAGGAUCGCCUUUCUUGGCGGAAGACGCAAGGAGAGAAGGGAGGACAGUGACGAUGCCGGGGUUCGUGGCCACAGAGAAAGCCCAAAAGGCAGCCCAGGGGAAAAAAUGGGAGGGGGAGCACAUGGGGUGGUCGGC